RNAcentral lists this ribosomal RNA (468 nucleotides) under uncultured bacterium. RNAcentral describes it as "partial 16S ribosomal RNA". It matches the Rfam family "Bacterial small subunit ribosomal RNA", at positions 28 to 507 of the family's 1533-position model. The record is from RNAcentral.
GACGAACGCUGGCGGCGUGCUUAACACAUGCAAGUCGAACGGAAAGGCCCUGCUUUUGUGGGGUGCUCGAGUGGCGAAAGGGUGAGUAACACGUGAGUAACCUGCCCUUGACUUUGGGAUAACUUCAGGAAACUGGGGCUAAUACCGGAUAGGAGCUCCUGCUGCAUGGUGGGGGUUGGAAAGUUUCGGCGGUUGGGGAUGGACUCGCGGCUUAUCAGCUUGUUGGUGGGGUAGUGGCUUACCAAGGCUUUGACGGGUAGCCGGCCUGAGAGGGUGACCGGCCACAUUGGGACUGAGAUACGGCCCAGACUCCUACGGGAGGCAGCAGUGGGGAAUAUUGCACAAUGGGCGGAAGCCUGAUGCAGCAACGCCGCGUGCGGGAUGACGGCCUUAGGGUUGUAAACCGCUUUCGCCUGUGACGAAGAGUGAGUGACGGUAAUGGGUAAAGAAGCACCGGCUAACUACGUG